This 70-nucleotide transfer RNA is filed under the name Pseudomonas phage GP100. It matches the Rfam family "tRNA". From Rfam's summary of the family: Transfer RNA (tRNA) molecules are approximately 80 nucleotides in length. Their secondary structure includes four short double-helical elements and three loops (D, anti-codon, and T loops). The record is from Rfam by way of RNAcentral. Lineage: Duplodnaviria; Heunggongvirae; Uroviricota; Caudoviricetes; Zobellviridae.
GCGGGUUGAGGAUAGUGGAGACCAAUGGCCUUUAGGGCCAUGAUUGCGGGUUCGAUUCCCGUAACCCGCU